Molecule: transfer RNA, 68 nt
Filed under: Platypedia putnami
Lineage: Eukaryota; Metazoa; Arthropoda; Insecta; Hemiptera; Cicadidae
Description: tRNA-Trp
Source: RNAcentral
AAGGCUUUAAGUUAACUUAAAACUGUUAUCUUUCAAAGUUAAAAAUAUAAUUCAUGUUGUAAGCCUUA